AUCCUUGCCAUUGGUCUCCUAUUCCUUCAUGGCUCAUUGUGAAUUCGUCUGUAACAUUCUGUCAUCUAUUAGUCUUUCAGUUCUUACUAUGUUCCAAAGCUGGUACACUGAUUCAAUCUCAUAUUCCCAGACCAGGGUUUCUUAACCUACAGGUAAUGAACAAUCCCAUGUGUAUCUGUUUUACCUUUUUGUUUCUUGGUCUUUUCAGUUUUGCUUUGUUUUUGUUUUAUUUUAUGAGAACGAGGACCAUAUAUUUCGUUUGAUUUUUAAAGAGACCGCUCAAAUGCUAAAAAGGGUCAUCCUAGAUAACAGUCAAGAUCUUUGUGACAACCCAGAGUAAUUGUGGACACACUUCCAUGCUGUCCUGAUGUCUUCUUCACCUAUUAGGAUUGAAGAGGAGUCAUGGUCUGCCUAAUGUUAUAAGGGGCAAGUCUGACAAGGAUAAACUCAGAUGAAGGUGCUCUUAUUUAGAAAAGGUUAAUAUGAUCUAUAACAUUAAAAUUUCGAUUAACCCUCUAAUGACAAUACAGCUGAUUUUUUUGGUAAUUUUUAAUUGAGCUUAAUCUCUCCUUUAAUAAUAGCAAAGAAGAUCUUGAACAUUCAGAAUCCCUAGACAGUAAAAUCCUUAACACAGAGAGUGUGCAGGGGACAUGGCUACCUAUAAUUCAGCAGUGCUGACAAACUGAAUGACACUGGAUAAAUCAUUUAAUUUUGAUGUCCCUUAGUUACCUUGCCUUGAAAUGGGAAUGCUAAAAGUUUCACUACUUCCUUUGCAAGGUUACUGUGAAUGUAAAAUAGAAUAACUAGAAAGCUAAAAUAUAUAUGUAAUUUAUUUAUCUGUAAGUAAUGUGUGGAACUUUUAAGCCUCGUAUGGGAAUAAAACAAAUAUACACUGUACUAUUCUAUGAACAAAUCUGUUGGCCAACAUUCUGAUAUUGAAUAUUUAUACACGAUAUAAUGUCUCCAUUUAUUUUCUGGACAGAAUAUAUGAGAUUUCUCAACAGAGGAUUUCCCGUUCUCUUAUUUAAGUAUUCUCCUCGGUGUUUGGGAGGCUGUAUAUUAAACUAGAGAAAAGGUAUUUGUUUGUAGUCAAACAUAAGCUUUUAUAUCUACUCUGCCCUUUUACUAGAUCUGGGUCUCUGGGAAGUUAGUAGGUCCUUUAUGAAUGACAGUGUUCUUGUGUUUUGGCAAUACCAACUAUAGGUUUUCCUAACAUCAGUUUUGUGCUUUGUCAAGUCUCUUGUUUGCUUGGUUUAAAUCCCGCUUCCAACUUCUUAAAGUCUAAUUAUAGAAUUGUCUUGAGUUUAUUGAUGUUUAACUUCUAGGGCGGUCUAUGAAUGUCAUCGAAAUGUCGAUAACUUAUCCCUAGAAGAAAGAAAUCCUCUAGGAUAUGCUGAACCUUCUGAAAAUGAUUUUCUUACCUCUAUUUACAAGUAUCUCAAUUUUAAAAUCACACUUCUCAAAGUAAAACAAAAAUAGCCAAUGAAGAAUAUUUCUAAAACUCAAGUGAAUAAAAGCUGCUUUAUUACAAUUUUACUCUAUUCACGUUUUGGCAUGCACUUUCUCUUUUUAUUUAGCUAAUAAUUACUCUUUGGGAAAAAUGCAUCAUUUAAACAUUUAUAAAAUUUAAUUUUAAGACUUUUGAUUUAUGAUAGCUUCUUAAGUGAUUAUGAAAUGAAAUCUAUUUUCGUAGAAUAUUCAGAAAUAACAUUCAUGUAAAUGACUUCAGUUUAUCUUGUUAGAAGUAUCUAUGAAACAAAACUUUCCCAAGUAAUUUUACUUAAGUUAUCCUUGGAAUGAUAAUUAAACACAAAGACAUGGUAAAUUGAAAAGUAAAGAAAUUAAAAGGAUAACAGACAGGUGUGUCUUUGUUUGUUUCUUCCUUCCUUCUUUUCUGAAUUAUUUAGGAAGUGUCAUAACAUUUGCAACUUACUCUCAGUAGAUUCAGGAUGAAAAGAGAAAAAGAAAAAUAUGCAAAUACAAAUAUAGCAAAAGUUUUAGCAAACAUGUAUAAUUAUUGUACUACUGUUUCAGAUUUUCCCUAGGUUUGAAAGUUUUUAAAACAUAAAUUUAAAAUACCUGUGUUUAUCUAGCUCCUAAUAUAUAUCAGGCACUUUGAUAUAUGAAGUGAAUUCAAUGUUGAACAAAAAAGACCAAGUCCCUGGCCUCAUAGAGCUUAAGAUAUUUAGGUAACAGGCAUUAAACUAAUACUUACAUAAUUUUAAAAACCAGGGUCGAUAAGUGUAAUAAAUGAGUCUGGUGCUUGUGUAGGAUUCAUGUGGACUCCUGCUUCUGCUGGUACAGUCCAUCACUGGCAAAUCUGUGGCAAGACGUUCAGUUCCAGAGCCUCCAUGUCAAGGCCAGUCUACUGGCUUCAAGCCAAGAUGGAGAAAUGGAAACUCCAAAAGAUUAAGCAAGAAGCCCAUAGGAACACAAUUAGUAGAGCAUAGGCAAUGUUACACAGAGCUGGUGAUAGCAGGAGACGGAUCUGCAGUGACAAGCAAGGGUAGCUUCAUCAAGGCAACACCCAUUUCUUGAAACAAUGGCUGUCUCCAAACAAAGUCUCCACUGCUCUGUGUUUGCCUCUGAAAACUAUCUAGCUGAUUAUGCAAAAAUGCCCUACUCUUUUGCUAUGCUAGGUUAAAUUAAAUUUAUUAUGUUGUUAUGUUUCCAUUUUUAUUAUUUCUGAAUACUGAUACAGUGUUUUUAGAAGCCAGAUUAGAGUUUUUCAAAUUAGAGUUUCAAAAUGUUCUCCUAACCCGAGGAAAUUAAUUUUAUGAGCGACUUAAGCAUCUACACUCUAAAAAGACACCUGCUUUCUCAUGGUAAAUAUAUGACUUUAGGAUAAUUUAAAGAGCCUUUGAAAAGUUAAAAAAGAUCAGCAAAAUCUACUAAUAAAAACAGACAAGAUGCUCAGGGGAUUCAAAGUAGGUUAAGCUAUCAAAAUAUAAAUGCCAUUUGAGAGGGAUUCUGGCACUAAAUUUAGGAUUUUAGCAUUUUGACACUGAUAAAUCUUGCUGCAGGGUUCCUAAAUCUGAUGAGAACACGUGGUAGUGAUGCCCAAAUGCCUGAAUUAAAAUAUAGUUUGAUAUUUCAGUUAUUAGAUUAAAAUCAGAAACCUUUAAACACACAGUAAUUUAUGUAGGAUCCUUUUUGUGGGAGACUUCUAAAGCAGAGAUUGACUCAGUUUGACUCUGGAAAGCUUCUAAAUUGAAGACUUUAAGUGUAUAUGCCUUGGCCAUAUGAUGCAAUUUUAUUCCAUAUCAAAUGGAGAAGUCAAAAAGUAGAGUAUGAUAUCAUGCUGUUAAGACAUAAUGAGAAGAUUUAAAAAUUCUUUUAAAUAAACUCUUUAAUGGAAAUAUUCAGAGAGGAUAAAAAUAUUCAGGUGGUAUGGUUUGACCUUUAGAGUCACAUAAGAAAGAUGAGUUAAAUUUCAAUUUGACUUCCUCUUUUCCUAAUUGAAUACCCUUUAUUUCCUUCUCCUGCCUAAUUGCCCUGGCCAGAACU
Molecule: long non-coding RNA, 3507 nt
Filed under: Homo sapiens (human)
Lineage: Eukaryota; Metazoa; Chordata; Mammalia; Primates; Hominidae
Description: HSALNT0341600
Source: RNAcentral